This 1706-nucleotide ribosomal RNA is filed under the name Carangoides equula (whitefin trevally). RNAcentral's name for it is "16S ribosomal RNA". The stretch from base 112 to 1591 matches the Rfam family "Bacterial large subunit ribosomal RNA". The record is from RNAcentral. Lineage: Eukaryota; Metazoa; Chordata; Actinopteri; Carangiformes; Carangidae.
CGCCCAAUAGCUAGCCCUCCUCCCCAAAAACAACAAACCCCCAUCAAUACCCCCAAAAACACCAAACGAGUUAGACUAAACAAACCAUUUUUCCACCCCAGUAUAGGCGAUAGAAAAGGAAUUAAGGAGCAACAGAGAAAGUACCGCAAGGGAAAGCUGAAAGAGAAAUGAAAUAACCCAGUAAAGCCCCAAAAAAGCAGAGAUUUUUCCUCGUACCUUUUGCAUCAUGAUUUAGCCAGAAAAAUCCAAGCGAAGAGCACUUUAGUUUGGCCCCCCGAAACUAGGUGAGCUACUCCAAGACAGCCUAUUAAUAGGGCAAACCCGUCUCUGUGGCAAAAGAGUGGGAAGAGCUUUGAGUAGAGGUGACAGACCUACCGAACCUAGUUAUAGCUGGUUGCCUGUGAAUUGGAUAGAAGUUCAGCCUCUCGGCUUCUCCCCUCACUUUACGUGUUACCCUCUUUUGACACCUUAAAGAAACCGAGAGAGUUAAUCAAAGGAGGUACAGCUCCUUUGACACAAGACACAACUUUAAACAGGAGGGUAAAGAUCAUAAUUACCUAAAGGAAAAAUGUUCCGGUGGGCCUAAAAGCAGCCAUCCCAGCAGAAAGCGUUAAAGCUCGAACAUACCUACAAACCCUCUCCAUCCUGAUAAUAUUAUCUUAACCCCCUAAUUUUACCAGGCCACCCCAUGCCACCAUGGGGGUGACUAUGCUAAUAUGAGUAAUAAGAGAGCACCCCCCUCUCUCCCCGCACAAGUGUACAUCGGAACGGACCCCCCGCCGAAACUUAACGGCCCCAAACAAAGAGGGCAUUGAACAACACACCAAACAACCAGAAAAACAUCCAAUAACUUACCGUUAGCCCUACACUGGUGUGCCCCAAGGGAAAGACUAAAAGAAAGAGAAGGAACUCGGCAAACACAUAAAGCCUCGCCUGUUUACCAAAAACAUCGCCUCUUGCAAAACCAAUGAAUAAGAGGUCCCGCCUGCCCUGUGACUAUAAGUUUAACGGCCGCGGUAUUUUGACCGUGCGAAGGUAGCGCAAUCCACUUGUCUUUUAAAUGGAGACCUGUAUGAAUGGCACAACGAGGGCUUAGCUGUCUCCUCUUUCUAGUCAAUGAAAUUGAUCUCCCCGUGCAGAAGCGGGGAUAUUUUCAUAAGACGAGAAGACCCUAUGGAGCUUUAGACACCAAGACAGAUCAUGUUAAACACCCCAGAACAAAGGGCCAAACCAGAUGAACCCUGCCCUAAUGUCUUUGGUUGGGGCGACCGCGGGGAAACACAAAACCCCCACGUGGAAUGGGAAUACCCCCUCCUAAAACUAAGAGCUCCCGCUCUAAUUAACAGAAUUUCUGACCAAUAAGAUCCGGCAACGCCGAUCAACGAACCGAGUUACCCUAGGGAUAACAGCGCAAUCCCCUUCUAGAGCCCAUAUCGACAAGGGGGUUUACGACCUCGAUGUUGGAUCAGGACAUCCUAAUGGUGCAGCCGCUAUUAAGGGUUCGUUUGUUCAACGAUUAAAGUCCUACGUGAUCUGAGUUCAGACCGGAGUAAUCCAGGUCAGUUUCUAUCUAUGUUGCGAUCUUUCCUAGUACGAAAGGACCGAAAAGAAGAGGCCCAUGCUCAAAGUACGCCUCACCCCCACCUAAUGAAGACAACUAAAAUAGGCAAAAGGGCGUACCUCCCCAACGCCUAAGAGAAUGGCAU